UACGUAGGGGGCAAGCGUUUGUCCGGAUUUAUUGGGCGUAAAGAGCGUGUAGGCGGUUUGGUAGGUCCGUUGUGAAAACUCGAGGCUCAACCUCGAGACGCCGAUGGAAACCAUCAGACUAGAGUCCGGAAGAGGAGAGUGGAAUUCCUGGUGUAGCGGUGAAAUGCGCAGAUAUCAGGAGGAACACCAAUGGCGAAGGCAGCACUCUGGGACGUGACUGACGGCUGAGACGCGAAAAGCGUGGGGGAGCAAACAGG
Molecule: ribosomal RNA, 257 nt
Filed under: uncultured bacterium
Lineage: Bacteria
Description: partial 16S ribosomal RNA
Rfam family: Bacterial small subunit ribosomal RNA
Source: RNAcentral